GAUGAACGCUGGCGGCGUGCCUAAUACAUGCAAGUCGAGCGAACGGACGAGAAGCUUGCUUCUCUGAUGUUAACGGCGGACGGGUGAGUAACACGUGGAUAACCUACCUAUAAGACUGGGAUAACUUCGGGAAACCGUAGCUAAUACCGGCUAAUAUUUUGAACCGCAUGGUUCAAAAGUGAAAGACGGUCUUGCUGUCACUGAUAGAUGGAUCCGCGCUGCAUUAGGUAGUUGGUAAGGUAACGGCUUACCAAGGCAACGAUGCAUAGCCGGCCUGAGAGGGUGACCGGCCACACUGGAACUGAGACACGGUCCAGACUCCUACGGGAGGCAGCAGUGGGGAAUCUUCCGCAAUGGGCGAAAGCCUGACGGAGCAACGCCGCGUGAGGGAUGAAGGUCUUCGGAUCGUAAAACUCUGUUAUUAGGGAAGAACAUAUGUGGAAGUAACUGUGCACAUAUUGACGGUACCUAAUCAGAAAGCCACGGCUAACUACGUG
This 497-nucleotide ribosomal RNA is filed under the name uncultured bacterium. RNAcentral describes it as "partial 16S ribosomal RNA". It matches the Rfam family "Bacterial small subunit ribosomal RNA", at positions 28 to 507 of the family's 1533-position model. The record is from RNAcentral.